AUGGGGAUUCUUGCUCUUACAUCAAAUUUUGUUAAUGCAUCAUCCCCCGGGGCUUUUAUGAAAAAGGGGGGUUGGUCCCACCCUCCCAGGGGAUUUGUGAAACUUAAUGUUGACGCUUCUUUUGACCACGACCUCCUGAAGGGCACAAUAGGGGCGCUCCAGAGAGACGACAAAGGACGGAGGACGGUCGGCGGGUGCGACGGCGGCAAUCUUCGAUGA
RNAcentral lists this ribosomal RNA (219 nucleotides) under Triticum aestivum (bread wheat). RNAcentral describes it as "partial small subunit ribosomal RNA". The record is from RNAcentral. Lineage: Eukaryota; Viridiplantae; Streptophyta; Magnoliopsida; Poales; Poaceae.